UAGGGAAUCUUCGGCAAUGGGGGGAACCCUGACCGAGCAACGCCGCGUGAGUGAAGAAGGUUUUCGGAUCGUAAAGCUCUGUUGUUAAGGAAGAACGAGUGUGAGAAUGGAAAGUUCAUACUGUGACGGUACUUAACCAGAAAGGGACGGCUAACUACGUGCCAGCAGCCGCGGUAAUACGUAGGUCCCGAGCGUUGUCCGGGUUUAUUUGGCGUAAAGCGAGCGCAGGCGGUUAGAUAAGUCUGAAGUUAAAGGCAGUGGCUUAACCAUUGUAGGCUUUGGAAACUGUUUAACUUGAGUUCCGAAGGGGGGAGUGGAAUUCCAUGGUGAGCGGUGAAAUGCCUAGAUAUAUGGAGGAACCCCGGUGGCGAAAGCGGCUCUCUGGUCUGUAACUGACGCUGAGGGUCGAAAGCGUGGGGAGCGAAAAAG
RNAcentral lists this ribosomal RNA (429 nucleotides) under Bacteroidota bacterium. Its description in RNAcentral is "Bacteroidetes bacterium partial 16S ribosomal RNA". It matches the Rfam family "Bacterial small subunit ribosomal RNA", at positions 355 to 776 of the family's 1533-position model. Lineage: Bacteria; Pseudomonadati; Bacteroidota. The record is from RNAcentral.